CCUUUGGAGGGUUUGAUCCUGGCUCAGAGUGAACGCUGGCGGCGUGGAUUAGGCAUGCAAGUCGAGCGAUCCUUGUUGCCAAGAGGAAUUGAAGUCUUCGGAUGGAUGUUCUUUAAGGUGACGCUGGAUAGCGGCAAACGGGUGAGGAACACGUGGGUAAAGUACCUUGUGGUGGGGCAUAGCCUCGAGAAAUCGAGGGUAAUUCCCCGUAAUCCCUGGAACCUGGAAUGGUCCAGGGCAAAGAUGGCCUCUACUUGUAAGCUAUCACCGUAAGAGCAUCCCGCGUCCUAUCAGGUAGUUGGUAGGGUAACGGCCUACCAAGCCUUAGACGGGUAGCUAGCGUAAGAGCGUGUUUAGCCACACCGGGACUGAGACACUGCCCGGACUCCUACGGGAGGCUGCAGUCGAGAAUCUUUCACAAUGGACGAAAGUCUGAUGAUGCGACGCCGCGUGGGGGAUGAAGGUUUUCGGAUUGUAAACCCCUUUUAUUGGGGAGGAAUGUUGUCGGGUGAAUAAUCUGACAAUUUGACUGUACCCGAUGAAUAAGCCACGGCUAACUCCGUGCCAGCAGCCGCGGUAAUACGGAGGUGGCAAGCGUUACUCGGUAUGACUGGGUGUAAAGGGUCC
This 627-nucleotide ribosomal RNA is filed under the name Candidatus Omnitrophota bacterium. RNAcentral's name for it is "bacterial SSU rRNA". It matches the Rfam family "Bacterial small subunit ribosomal RNA", at positions 1 to 570 of the family's 1533-position model. Lineage: Bacteria; Pseudomonadati; Candidatus Omnitrophota. The record is from RNAcentral.